Molecule: non-coding RNA, 92 nt
Organism: Cadophora sp. M221
Lineage: Eukaryota; Fungi; Ascomycota; Leotiomycetes; Helotiales; Ploettnerulaceae
Source: the annotation of a GenBank genome assembly
GCUUCAUUGGUCCAAUGGUUAGGAUUCCACCCUUCCAGGCUUCAGCAGAGCUAAGUAAGGUGGAGGUUCGUGUUCGAUUCACGGAUGUUGCA